Molecule: transfer RNA, 1184 nt
Filed under: Equus asinus (donkey)
Lineage: Eukaryota; Metazoa; Chordata; Mammalia; Perissodactyla; Equidae
Description: lncRNA (ENSEASG00005025858.1)
Rfam family: tRNA (bases 439-505)
Source: RNAcentral
GUUAAGUCAACGGAGGCUCCUGCAUGCGCCAGAUUUCCAGCCAGGGGAGGAUAUACGGUUCAACCCGUCCCAGCGCCUGCUUCAAUUAUUGAGGAAGCAAGAAGGAGCAGGAAUGAUGGGGGGAGUAGUCAGAAGCUUAUAUUGUUUAUUCAAGGGAAAGCUAUAUCGGGUGCUCCAAUUAUUAGGGGGACUAAUCAGUUUCCAAAUCCUCCAAUCAUGACAGGUAUAACUAUGAAGAAAAUUAUUACGAAUGCAUGGGCGGUUACAAUAACAUUGUAGAUUUGAUCAUCUCCUAGCAGGGUUCCAGGUUGACCUAAUUCAGCACGAAUUAAGAGGCUUAGGGCGGUUCCUACUAUUCCAGCUCAAGCGCCGAAUAGGAGAUAUAAAGUGCCGAUGUCUUUGUGGUUGGUUGAGAAUAAGCAGCGAGUAAUGAACAUAGGUAAGAUGGCUGAGUAAGCAUUAGAUUGUAAAUCUAAAGACAGAGGUUGGAAUCCUCUUCUUAUCAAGUCCCGUGGUGAAUUUCACAUUGAAUUGCAAAUUCAAAGGAGCAGCUUCAACUCUGCCUGGGCUACUCCCGCCUUUUUUUCUAGGUGGCGGGAGAAGUAGAUUGAAGCCAGUUGACUAGGGUAUUUAGCUGUUAACUAAAAUUUUGUGGGAUGAUAGAGUAUUGCAGUCCUUAGUAUGCAGGAAUUAAGUGAAUACACUUGCUUAGAGCUUGGAAGGCUCUUGGUCUGAUGUUAACCUAAAUUCCUAGUCCAAAAUUGAUAAUAUGGGAGUUAGAGGAUAUUACGAUUAAUGGGGGUAGGAGGGUUAUUUGUUUGGUUUCAAAUUGUCAUUUCAUUUUUAUGUUGUUUGUGGAUGGGAAUACGGUUGGUGAUGUGGAGUAGGUUAGUCGUAUGUAGAAGUAGAGGUUGAGUAGUGCUAUGACGGCCAUUAGUGUGGGGAGGAUGAUCCUGUUGUUUUUAGUAAGUUCUUGGAUGAUUAUUCAUUUGGGUAUGAAUCCUGAUAGUGGAGGAAGGCCUCCUAUGGAUAGUAAGGUAAUUAGGAUCAGUGCGGUAGUUAGGGGUGUUUUAUUUCAUGUAUGUGAAAGUGAUAGUGUUGUGGUGGAGGAGCUGUGGAUAAACAGUAUGAAUAUUGUGAGUGUCAUUAUAAUGUAAAUUAGUAUACUUAGUACUGUUAUUGUU